RNAcentral lists this ribosomal RNA (422 nucleotides) under Verrucomicrobiota bacterium. RNAcentral describes it as "Verrucomicrobia bacterium partial 16S ribosomal RNA". It matches the Rfam family "Bacterial small subunit ribosomal RNA", at positions 355 to 776 of the family's 1533-position model. Lineage: Bacteria; Pseudomonadati; Verrucomicrobiota. The record is from RNAcentral.
UGGGGAAUUUUGCACAAUGGGCGCAAGCCUGAUGCAGCGACGCCGCGUGAGGGAUGAAGGCCUUCGGGUUGUAAACCUUUUUCGCUCAUGGUCAAGCCGCAGCUUUGGGUUGUGGUGAGGGUAGUGGGUAAAGAAGCGCCGGCUAACUACGUGCCAGCAGCCGCGGUAAUACGUAGGGCGCGAGCGUUGUCCGGAAUUAUUGGGCGUAAAGGGCUUGUAGGCGGUUGGCCGCGUCUGCCGUGAAAUCCUCUGGCUUAACUGGGGGCGUGCGGUGGGUACGGGUUGACUUGAGUGCGGUAGGGGAGACUGGAAUUCCUGGUGUAGCGGUGGAAUGCGCAGAUAUCAGGAGGAACACCGGUGGUGAAGGCGGGUCUCUGGGCCGUUACUGACGCUGAGGAGCGAAAGCGUGGGGAGCGAACAGG